AUCCAGAUGACGAGUCCCGAAUAGGACGAAACGUGUGUCCUGGAU
Non-coding RNA from Schistosoma rodhaini, 45 nucleotides. Lineage: Eukaryota; Metazoa; Platyhelminthes; Trematoda; Strigeidida; Schistosomatidae. The record is from Rfam.